Podarcis lilfordi (Lilford's wall lizard) is the source of this 2142-nucleotide non-coding RNA. The record is from the annotation of a GenBank genome assembly. Lineage: Eukaryota; Metazoa; Chordata; Lepidosauria; Squamata; Lacertidae.
CUUGCAAGUUCUUGUUCUCCCUCUUGAAGGUCUCUAGGUGCUCCAGCGACUCCUCGUAGGCGUUCUUCAGCUUGAAGAGCUCGGUGCUGAGAGAACGGGCCUCCUUCUGCGACGACUCCAGCUCCGUCUGGGACUCCUCAUACUUCUGCUUCCACUCUGACAGGAGCUGCGGUGGGUGAUGGAGAAGCGGAGAGAGUAAGGUUUGAGAAUAGCUAUUUCUUGAGGCACUCCUAGGCCCGCUGCUCCCAACAACGAGCAAACGGACGCCCUUGAAGCCAAGCCGUUGUGGCGUACUGGUUAAAGUGAGUUAAGAGCAUGUGGCGCAGACGUGAGCUGAGCUUCACAAGCGUCCAGUACGGCCCAGUAUCCCCACCAAGCAGAACUGGGGUACCCACAGCUGUCCCCAACCCAUCCCUUCCGGAUCAUUCCCUCCACUUUUCCCACCGUACUUUGUCGAAGUUCCUCUGCUUCUUGUCCAGGGCAGCUGCGGCCGCGUUUGAGCGCUCCACGUCCACCAUGAGGUCUUCGAUCUCGUUCUGCAGGCGGUGCUUGGUCUUCUCCAGCGAGGAGCACUUGGCGUUCACGGCCUCCACCGCCUCUUCGGCGUCUUGCAGGCGCUGCGCCAGCUUCUUCCUGACACACAAAUGGGGCAGGGUGACAGGUGCCAUAAGCCAAUAGAAGGAGCCCAAACCCAUGACAAGGAAGGGCUUAAUGAAAGGAGAUAAUCAGAAGGGGCUCACCCCUCCUGCUUUGCUUAAAAUAACAACUCCUCCGGGGGAAUUAAAUUCAGGCUGGAGUCAAAAGUGUCCAGGCCCAAUUCAAGGAGCUCGUAGUGGCGUUUAAAACCUAGGCCACUUAGGCCUCAAGAAAGAUGGCCUCCGUCCCUAAAGACUCUCUCAGGUGUUGAGAUUGGCAGACCCCUUGGUACUUGGUCUACCCUCUAAAAUGCAGGGCAAGAACUUUCUCUGUGGCAGCCCUUAAGCCAUUGAAUUCCCUCCUCACAGAGCCCAGCAUCUUCAAUGUACGGCUUUCGCUGUACACACCUCUUUACUUUCGCCUAUUUUGUUUUACGAGACCCAUUUCUUUUGCUGAAUCGACUGUCCUGUUUUCGGCUGGGACGGUUUUACCGUUCUACGUGUUUUUGUUGUUUCAAUUGCAUUUCCCCCCUUUACAGUCAUACCUCUUGUUACGUUUGCUUCAGGUUAAAUAUUUUCAGGUUGCGUCCUGCGGCAACCCGGAAGUACCGGAAAGGGUUACUUCCGGGUUUCGCCGCUCACGCAUGCGCAGACGCUCAAAAUGACAUCACACGCAUGCGCAGAAGCGGCGAAUCGCGACCCACGCAGACGCGGGUUGCAUUCUGCUCAUGUUGCGAAUGGGGCUCCGGAACGGAUCCCGUUUGCAACCAGAGGUACCACUGUAUUGGCUAUUGCAUUGUUUCAACUUGAACAUACAAGGGUGAGAAAGGGUGGGUGGUGCAACAGGCCUGUGGUUGUGAGGUGAGGCGAGUUGUGGGUCUCAUUGCCCUCCGCCCCACUUACUUGGCUUCCUCCAGCUCCUCCGUCCUCUGGAUGGCAUCAGUCUCGUACUUGGUCCUCCACUGUGCCACCUCGGAAUUGGCCUUCGACAGCGAGCGCUGAAGCUCCGCUUUGGCCUCCGUUUCUUCCUCAUACUGCUCCCUCAUAAGGUCGCAGUCAUGGCGGGCUGACUGCAGCGCAUGCGCCAGAGCAUUCUUGGCCUGAGGGGAAGGGAACAGCCACGUGGCCUCAGUGACCGUCAGUCCUGACAGGACCAGUAUCUACCCUUCGCGUUGAGUCCUGUGGACUUCCUUCCCAAACCUCUUUGCGUCCUCCUUACCUUAGCUUCUUCUUCCAGUUGCCUCUUCAGAUCUUCCAGUUGCUGGGUGUACGUCAGCUUCCCUCGCGUCAGCUGGUUGAUCAAAGCAUCCUUCUCAUCCAUCUGGCGGGAUAAUUCACCUAGGGAGAAGAGUUGGGGCGGAGGAAUCCAUUAUCUCCGGGAGUUUUGUCAUCGGAAUCGGCAGCCAUGUUGAACAGGGACCCCACAGGCUGACAGUGUCUGUCUCUACACGCUUCUCUUCAGAAAAUGCUCUGCAGAGGGUGCCAUCGAAGAUGAACACCAAAUUAG